This 498-nucleotide ribosomal RNA is filed under the name uncultured bacterium. Its description in RNAcentral is "bacterial SSU rRNA". It matches the Rfam family "Bacterial small subunit ribosomal RNA", at positions 344 to 842 of the family's 1533-position model. The record is from RNAcentral.
GGAGGCAGCAGUGAGGAAUAUUGGUCAAUGGGCGCGAGCCUGAACCAGCCAAGUCGCGUGAGGGAUGAAGGUUCUAUGGAUCGUAAACCUCUUUUAUAAGGGAAUAAAGUGUGGGACGUGUCCUAUUUUGUAUGUACCUUAUGAAUAAGGAUCGGCUAACUCCGUGCCAGCAGCCGCGGUAAUACGGAGGAUCCGAGCGUUAUCCGGAUUUAUUGGGUUUAAAGGGUGCGUAGGCGGCCUUUUAAGUCAGCGGUGAAAGUCUGUGGCUCAACCAUAGAAUUGCCGUUGAAACUGGGGGGCUUGAGUAUGUUUGAGGCAGGCGGAAUGCGUGGUGUAGCGGUGAAAUGCUUAGAUAUCACGCAGAACCCCGAUUGCGAAGGCAGCCUGCCAAGCCAUGACUGACGCUGAUGCACGAAAGCGUGGGGAUCAAACAGGAUUAGAUACCCUGGUAGUCCACGCAGUAAACGAUGAUCACUAGCUGUUUGCGAUACAGUGUAA